GACGAACCGUGCUAACGUUGUUCGGAAUCACUGGGCUUAAAGGGCGCGUAGGCGGGCCGGCCAGUCAGGGGUGAAAGCCCACGGCUUAACCGUGGAAGCGCCUUUGAUACUGCCGGCCUCGAGGGGGGUAGGGGCGUGCGGAACUUCCGGUGGAGCGGUGAAAUGCGUAGAUAUCGGAAGGAACACCGGUGGCGAAAGCGGCGCGCUGGACCCCUUCUGACGCUGAGGCGCGAAAGCCAGGGGAGCAAACGGG
RNAcentral lists this ribosomal RNA (253 nucleotides) under uncultured bacterium. RNAcentral's name for it is "partial 16S ribosomal RNA". It matches the Rfam family "Bacterial small subunit ribosomal RNA", at positions 524 to 776 of the family's 1533-position model. The record is from RNAcentral.